RNAcentral lists this long non-coding RNA (292 nucleotides) under Zonotrichia albicollis (white-throated sparrow). Its description in RNAcentral is "lncRNA (ENSZALG00000008952.1)". The record is from RNAcentral. Lineage: Eukaryota; Metazoa; Chordata; Aves; Passeriformes; Passerellidae.
AGUGUUAACAUUUGUUGAAAUCUUGUCCUUUUCUCUGAUUGUCUCUCUUCUGCAGGUUAAGGUGCCAGCUGCCUGGACUUACCAGUUUCCACUCCUUUGGUUAGAUGUCAACCACUUCUGAUCCUUCACUUCUGAAAAAUUUAUCUCAGGUCACAGAAGAUAAGAAGGACUCACAACCGAACACAAUCUCUCCGCUUGCCCUAAGCCAGGGCAAUCCCCCAGGCAUUAUAUUUCUUGAACUUGAGAUAUGAUUCUGAUCAACCCACCAAGCUGUCUAAGCCUGCUAUACAGU